Molecule: ribosomal RNA, 397 nt
Filed under: uncultured bacterium
Lineage: Bacteria
Description: partial 16S ribosomal RNA
Rfam family: Bacterial small subunit ribosomal RNA
Source: RNAcentral
AUACGUAGGGGGCGAGCGUUGUCCGGAAUGAUUGGGCGUAAAGGGCGCGUAGGCGGCCCGGUAAGUCUGGAGUGAAAGUCCUGUUUUUAAGAUGGGAAUUGCUUUGGAUACUGUCGGGCUUGAGUGCAGGAGAGGUAAGUGGAAUUCCCGGUGUAGCGGUGAAAUGCGUAGAGAUUGGGAGGAACACCAGUGGCGAAGGCGACUUACUGGACUGUAACUGACGCUGAGGCGCGAAAGUGUGUGGAGCAAACAGGAUUAGAUACCCUGGUAGUCCACACUGUAAACGAUGAAUGCUAGGUGUAGGGGGUAUCGACCCCUUCUGUGCCGCAGUCAACACAAUAAGUAUUCCGCCUGGGGAGUACGGCCGCAAGGUUGAAACUCAAAUGAAUUGACGGGG